GCAUGGCUUUUACUGCCAAGUCAUAUCGAUGCAACUCCGUACCGCCUACUGAGAAUUGCCUAUCUACCGUUAAGAGGUGGUAUUAUGACCCCAGUAAUCGCACAUGCGUCCUCCGCAAUGUUGGAAGAUGUAAGCCUCAACCGGCCUUUCUAUUAUGUCGCCGAUGUGUGAUGACGUGCAUGGGUAUCAAAUCGAAGGAUACGGCAGUAAUCAACCAUUUAUGCGCAUUAUCCGCUGAAAGGCUGCAGCAAGAUGGCAUCUAAACAAGACGAUAAAUUGCGUGUUGUAUAAUGCGCAAUUUGGUUGAAGGGAAACUUGGCUUUUGAUAUAAUAAACAGUACUUGUGAUAUGAC
RNAcentral lists this long non-coding RNA (353 nucleotides) under Dermacentor andersoni. RNAcentral's name for it is "uncharacterized LOC126534921". Lineage: Eukaryota; Metazoa; Arthropoda; Arachnida; Ixodida; Ixodidae. The record is from RNAcentral.